CGUACUCCAACCUCGGCCCACAGGUAGGGAUACGCCCGGACGAAGUCGGAUUAAUACCCUAUGUUUUCCCCUGAGAGCAUUUGACGGGGAACAAAGAUUCAUCGCUAUGGGAUGGGGAUGCGUCCGAUUAGCUUGACGGCGGGGUAACGGCCCACCGUGGCUUCGAUCGGUAGGGGUUCUGAGAGGAAGGUCCCCCACAUUGGAACUGAGACACGGUCCAAACUCCUACGGGAGGCAGCAGUGAGGAAUAUUGGUCAAUGGGCGUAAGCCUGAACCAGCCAAAAGUAGCGUGCAGGAUGACCGGCCCUACGGGUUGUAAACUGUCUUUUGCCGGGGAAUAAAGUUCGGGACGCGUCCCGUUUUGUAUGUACCCGGAGAAUAAGGACCGGCUAAUUCCGUGCCAGCAGCAGC
Molecule: ribosomal RNA, 411 nt
Filed under: uncultured bacterium
Lineage: Bacteria
Description: bacterial SSU rRNA
Rfam family: Bacterial small subunit ribosomal RNA
Source: RNAcentral